CAUUGAUGACUGUAUGUUGAAGCACUGAGGAGUUAGUCAUUUGAAGUUUGUAUAUCAGACUCUGAAUGGCACACUUGGACAACACCUGUACAUCCUCA
Molecule: long non-coding RNA, 98 nt
Organism: Poecilia latipinna (sailfin molly)
Lineage: Eukaryota; Metazoa; Chordata; Actinopteri; Cyprinodontiformes; Poeciliidae
Exons: 2
Source: RefSeq, a predicted model, not a curated record